This 244-nucleotide ribosomal RNA is filed under the name uncultured bacterium. RNAcentral describes it as "partial small subunit ribosomal RNA". It matches the Rfam family "Bacterial small subunit ribosomal RNA", at positions 26 to 285 of the family's 1533-position model. The record is from RNAcentral.
AGAAUCAACGCUGGCGGCGUGCCUAACACAUGCAAGUCGCACGAGAAAGGGACUUCGGUCCUGAGUACAGUGGCGCACGGGUGAGUAACACGUGAAUUAUCUACCUCCGAGUGGGGAAUAACUGAGAGAAAUCUUAGCUAAUACCGCAUAACACUUACGAGUCAAAGCAGCAAUGCGCUUGGAGAGGAGUUCGCGGCAGAUUAGUUAGUUGGCGGGUAAUGGCCCACCAAGACGAUGAUCUGUA